GGGGCCGUCGGCUAGCAUGGUCUAGGCUCUGAGCCUCGGGCGCUCGGGACCCCGGUUCGAAUCCGGGCGGCCCCACCA
This 78-nucleotide transfer RNA is filed under the name Candidatus Bathyarchaeota archaeon. RNAcentral describes it as "tRNA-Pro". It matches the Rfam family "tRNA". Rfam says of the family: Transfer RNA (tRNA) molecules are approximately 80 nucleotides in length. Their secondary structure includes four short double-helical elements and three loops (D, anti-codon, and T loops). Further hydrogen bonds mediate the characteristic L-shaped molecular structure. tRNAs have two regions of fundamental functional importance: the anti-codon, which is responsible for specific mRNA codon recognition, and the 3' end, to which the tRNAs corresponding amino acid is attached (by aminoacyl-tRNA synthetases). tRNAs cope with the degeneracy of the genetic code in two manners: having more than one tRNA (with a specific anti-codon) for a particular amino acid; and 'wobble' base-pairing, i.e. permitting non-standard base-pairing at the 3rd anti-codon position. The record is from RNAcentral. RNAcentral also lists the same sequence under 3 other names. Lineage: Archaea; Thermoproteati; Candidatus Bathyarchaeota.